Molecule: ribosomal RNA, 253 nt
Filed under: uncultured bacterium
Lineage: Bacteria
Description: partial 16S ribosomal RNA
Rfam family: Bacterial small subunit ribosomal RNA
Source: RNAcentral
UACGUUGGGGGCUAGCGUUGUCCGGAAUCAUUGGGCGUAAAGAGCGUGUAGGCGGCCCGGUAAGUCCGCUGUGAAAGUCGGGGGCUCAACCCUCGAAUGCCGGUGGAUACUGUCGGGCUAGAGUGCGGAAGAGGCGAGUGGAAUUCCUGGUGUAGCGGUGAAAUGCGCAGAUAUCAGGAGGAGCACCGAUUGCGAAGGCAGCUCGCUGGGACGUCACUGACGCUGAGACGCGAAAGCGUGGGGAGCAAACAGG